RNAcentral lists this ribosomal RNA (468 nucleotides) under uncultured bacterium. RNAcentral's name for it is "partial 16S ribosomal RNA". It matches the Rfam family "Bacterial small subunit ribosomal RNA", at positions 28 to 507 of the family's 1533-position model. The record is from RNAcentral.
GACGAACGCUGGCGGCGUGCUUAACACAUGCAAGUCGAACGGAAAGGCCCUGCUUUUGUGGGGGGCUCGAGUGGCGAACGGGUGAGUAACACGUGAGUAACCUGCCCUUGACUUUGGGAUAACUUCAGGAAACUGGGGCUAAUACCGGAUAGGAGCUCCGGCGGCAUGGUGGGGGUUGGAAAGUUUCGGCGGUUGGGGAUGGACUCGCGGCUUAUCAGCUUGUUGGUGGGGUAGUGGCUUACCAAGGCUUUGACGGGUAGCCGGCCUGAGAGGGUGACCGGCCACAUUGGGACUGAGAUACGGCCCAGACUCCUACGGGAGGCAGCAGUGGGGAAUAUUGCACAAUGGGCGGAAGCCUGAUGCAGCAACGCCGCGUGCGGGAUGACGGCCUUCGGGUUGUAAACCGCUUUCGCCUGUGACGAAGCGUGAGUGACGGUAAUGGGUAAAGAAGCACCGGCUAACUACGUG